CAGCUACCCAGCAAUGGGAUGCGAAUCUCGAAAGCCUGUCUCAGUUCGGAUUGGAGGCUGAAACCCGCCUCCAUGAAGUUGGAUUCGCUAGUAAUCGCGCAUCAGCCAUGGCGCGGUGAAUACGUUCCCGGGCCUUGUACACACCGCCCGUCAAGCCAUGGGAGCCGGGGGUGCCUGAAGUUCGUGACCGCAAGGAGCGACCUAGGGCAAAACUGGUGACUGGGGCUAAGUCGUAACAAGGUAAC
Molecule: ribosomal RNA, 245 nt
Filed under: uncultured bacterium
Lineage: Bacteria
Description: partial 16S ribosomal RNA
Rfam family: Bacterial small subunit ribosomal RNA
Source: RNAcentral